AACAAAGAAUUUAUUUUGAUUUUCUCGAAAUCCAGCAGCUGGAGGAAAUUCCACACACACACAAAUUAAAGAAGAAAAAAAAGGAAAAAGAAAAACUAGUAAAGAAAGGAAGGCGUUCAAUUUCCUCAGCAAAACUGAGCUCCCGUCUUCAACCCCUCUCUCUCUCUCUCUCUCUCUCUCUCUCUCUCACACACACACACACACACACACACACAGAAGAUAUAGAGAGUAUUACAUACACACGGAUAUAUAUAUAUAGAUAGAUACAAUUCUUGGAGUGAGGGGAAACGACGCCGUUGGGGAUUUGCUUGAUUUCAUCAUCUAAUUAUAGCACGGGGAAGGGUCAACCGGUCAUGCGUUUGAGUGUUGGCGGCUCCGAAACCCUAACCCUACCCUUAGCUCCUCACAAAUGUCGUCUUCACCUGACAAAAACUCAAUCUUUGACCCCUCCAAGCCCAAGAAGAAGCGCCACUGGAGCUGGUCCGACCCCGACAGGGUUGACCCCAAUGAGGCAUUGAAGCAUGUGAUGCUCAAAAUGCGCCUCCACUCCUUGUCCAACUCCGGCUCAACCACUCCUCACUCCGAAUCCGAACCCGACUCUGAUUCCUUCAGCCCUAACCCGGUUUCAACCGCCCCUGAUUUCACUGCUACGCUAUCUGAUGAAUUGUUGCUCAACGUUUUUGGUAGGAUUCCGGACGCAAAGCAGCUAUUUUCCAAUUCAUUGGUCUGUAAGAGGUGGUGUGUGCUGUGUGGCAAGUUGAUUCAAUCGAUUAAAUUGUUCGACUGGGAGUUUUUGGAGUCGGGGAGAUUAAGUUAUCGGUUUCCAAAUUUGGUUGAUAUUAAUAUUGUGCCGGCUAGUAUUAUAUUUGAGAGGAAUUCGGGGAUUUUGUUGAGUACUAAGUCAUUGGAGGUUUAUUUGAACUCGGGGGUGUUGGAAACUGAGGGUUCUUUUGUUAGAAAAGAGGACAUUUUGGACUCUGAGGCGAUUGAUAAAGGGGUGAGGAUAUUAGCUGAGGGGUGUAGGAAUUUGAGAAGAAUAGCAUUGAUGAAUGUUAGUGAAGAAGGGUUGAGUUGCUUGGCCGAGGAGUGUGAGUUGUUGCAGGAGAUGGAGUUGCAUUAUUCUGGUGAUUUUGCAUUGAGGGGAAUUACUAAGUGUCAGAAUUUGCAAAUAUUGAAAUUGAUAGGUAGACUAAGUGGGGUUUACGAUUCGGUAGUUUCAGAUAUUGGAAUGACCAUUUUGGCGCAGGGUUGUAGACGAUUGCUGAAGCUUGAGUUAGUGGGAUGUGAGGGGAGUUAUGAUGGGAUUAAGGCAAUUGGGAUGUGUUGCCAGAUGUUGGAGGAGUUGACAUUUUGCAGUCAUAGGAUGGAAGGUGGGUGGUUGUCAGCUUUGUCGUAUUGUGGGAACUUGAAGAUUUUGAGGCUCGAGUCAUGUAUGUGUAUUGAUGAAAACCCGGGACCAGAUGAGUAUUUAGGCGCAUGCCCGAUGCUUGAAGAGUUACAUAUGAGUCGAUGUCAAAUGCGGGACAAAGAGGGUGUAAGGGCAUUGUUUAUGGUGUGUUCGAAUAUUCGGGGGCUAGUUAUCGAGGACUGUUGGGGAAUGGACAACAAUGUUUUCGCAGCUGCAACAGUUUUUAGGGCUAUAAGAUCUCUCUCGCUGGAAGGAUGCUCAUUGCUGACAACAGAAGGAUUAGAAUCUGUUGUUCUUUCUUGGAAGGAGCUCGAUAGGCUUAAAGUAAUAGCAUGUAACAAUGUAAGGGACAGUGAAAUAACACCGGAACUAGCGACUUUAUUUUCUCUUCUCAAAGAGUUGAAGUGGCGGCCCGAUUCCAGGUCACUGCUAGCAGCUAGCCUUGCAGGGACAGGAAUCGGACAAAAAGGUGGGAGAUCUUUGAGGAGAAAGUGAUGUUAGGAGGUACUGAUCUAUACUUGGAAACUAUGAGAUGACUUAAAUAUGGAAGCCAACGCAGAGUGAUCUCCACAUGCAAAAUCAACACACUUCACAUUAUGCGUGCAUCUCCUGUUGGAUAAGAGUGUUGCGAAACCAUUUUUGCUCGGAAGUUGGUGAUUUUCGAAUCGGUUGGAUCUUGCUUGCUACCAUGCAAUAUCUCAACAAAUGUAAGUGCUGAUUAACAUAGUGCAGAUUUCCAGCAUUUAUAGCGUGAUAGCAACAAGAAGGCACAACCCUGCAGCAUCUGGAUUUAUACUACGGAUUCCAGCAGCAUAAUCGUACAGGGAUCUAAGACUGCAAAGUUGUGCUUCUCUGUAUUGCAUAUGGAACACAUAUAGUAGUUCAAGAUUUUGGUGACUAGACUGCAUUACAAUAGCCGCAGUAGUUCCUAUCCUGAUGCUUACAUUUCGCAAAGAAAAUCUGGAGAAGACAGGCAAAUGAACAGAGCUUCAGUUACAUGUUUUGAGUCCUGAUAGUAGUUCAUUCUUGCAUUGGUUCUUGUAAAUCCCCCAAAAUAUCCUGUUUCAUUGUAUAUAUUCAUCUUUUCUUUCGUUCGUUC
RNA transcript from Sesamum indicum (sesame), 2507 nucleotides. It is a transcript of the gene named F-box protein At5g51370, with no coding region annotated. NCBI's taxonomy places the organism in Eukaryota, Viridiplantae, Streptophyta, Magnoliopsida, Lamiales, Pedaliaceae. The record is from RefSeq and is a predicted model, not a curated record.